Molecule: ribosomal RNA, 253 nt
Filed under: uncultured bacterium
Lineage: Bacteria
Description: partial 16S ribosomal RNA
Rfam family: Bacterial small subunit ribosomal RNA
Source: RNAcentral
UACGUAGGGACCAAGCGUUGUUCGGAUUCACUGGGCGUAAAGGGUGCGUAGGUGGUCGGGUAAGUCUGAUGUGAAAUCUCCGAGCUUAACUCGGAAAUGGCAUUGGAUACUAUUCGGCUAGAGGGUUUGAGGGGGGACUGGAAUACUUGGUGUAGCAGUGAAAUGCGUAGAUAUCAAGUGGAACACCAGUGGCGAAGGCGGCGCUCUGGAACAUACCUGACGCUGAGACACGAAAGCGUGGGGAGCAAACAGG